UCCCUGCAUGGGAAGGAGGAGCAGAGGCCCUGUCACGCACCGGGCAACCAGGGAAGCCCCGUCUGAAGAUAUUGGAAAGGAGGAGAAGAAAGAGGAAAGCAGAGAAGAUCGCCUCGCAGAGGCCAGGCUGCAGCCUGGGCUCCGUGCACCUCUGCCUGCUGACGGGAUCCACCUCAGGUCAAGAAGGUGCUGGCUCACCCUUCCCUCAAGAUUUUAGAGAUCCCAGUGCAUGUCCUGGAAAUCCUUUAAAAUUCAAAGAAAACAAGCAAAGCUCUGGCUAAUUAAAUGUUUUCUGCUUACCGUCGUUAACAUAUUAAUGCGACAGGCUAAAUGUAUUACUCAGUGGUGCAGAAGCUCUUAGGUCUGUGCACCCCUUUUUGAGAGGAUUUCUCCAUGUGGCAUCCGUGUUUACAGUGCACUGGCUUUCUGUUCAUAGGGCUUUUACGUGGGGGCGAUGGCAUGGCAGAAAGCAUCCCCAGGGUGAGAAGGGGAUGGGGAGGUCCACAUUGCAGUUCAGACCCCCUGGACAUCUGCCUUUGAGAUAGCCACGUCCCUGAGCCUUUCCUUUCAAAGGAUGGUGGGUCAGUUUCUAAUGUUCCCAUUUUGACCUCUCAGACUCAGGGACUGAGGCUAGAGCACAGGUCC
This 645-nucleotide long non-coding RNA is filed under the name Macaca fascicularis (crab-eating macaque). RNAcentral's name for it is "lncRNA (ENSMFAG00000052230.1)". Lineage: Eukaryota; Metazoa; Chordata; Mammalia; Primates; Cercopithecidae. The record is from RNAcentral.